AGAGUUUGAUCAUGGCUCAGGACGAACGCUGGCGGCGUGCCUAAUACAUGCAAGUAGAACGCACAGGAUGCACCGUAGUUUACUACACCGUAUUCUGUGAGUUGCGAACGGGUGAGUAACGUGUAGGUAACCUGCCUGGUAGCGGGGGAUAACUAUUGGAAACGAUAGCUAAUACCGCAUAAGAACAUUUACUGCAUGGUAGAUGUUUAAAAGGUGCAAAAGCAUCACUACCAGAUGGACCUGCGUUGUAUUAGCUAGUUGGUGAGGUAACGGCUCANCAAGGCAACGAUACAUAGCCGACCUGAGAGGGUGAUCGGCCACACUGGGACUGAGACACGGCCCAGACUCCUACGGGAGGCAGCAGUAGGGAAUCUUCGGCAAUGGACGGAAGUCUGACCGAGCAACGCCGCGUGAGUGAAGAAGGUUUUCGGAUCGUAAAGCUCUGUUGUAAGAGAAGAACGAGUGUGAGAGUGGAAAGUUCACACUGUGACGGUACUUAACCAGAAAGGGACGGCUAACUACGUGCCAGCAGCCGCGGU
This 539-nucleotide ribosomal RNA is filed under the name Streptococcus sp. oral clone 2-34. Its description in RNAcentral is "bacterial SSU rRNA". It matches the Rfam family "Bacterial small subunit ribosomal RNA", at positions 8 to 521 of the family's 1533-position model. The record is from RNAcentral. Lineage: Bacteria; Bacillati; Bacillota; Bacilli; Lactobacillales; Streptococcaceae.